Suricata suricatta (meerkat) is the source of this 2897-nucleotide long non-coding RNA. RefSeq lists it as uncharacterized. NCBI's taxonomy places the organism in Eukaryota, Metazoa, Chordata, Mammalia, Carnivora, Herpestidae. The record is from RefSeq and is a predicted model, not a curated record. The transcript is spliced from 2 exons.
CCUGUGGAGUUCAUGAGGUACCAUCACCACUGCGGGCAAGAUGCUCUCAUCUCCUUCCUGCUCAUUCCCCACCCCUGUCAGGUACCCCCUCUGAUAGUUGUCUUUUAAUGCACAGUUCCUUGGAAAAACAAAAUGAAUCUAUUUUAAAAUAAGAAAUCCAAACGAUUCUAAAAAUGCACAGCUUGCUGAGAUUUUACAAGCUGAACACACUCGUGUAAGCAGCACGCAGACCAAGAAACAAAAAUAUUAUCGCCCCCCACACAAGACCCUUCUUCUGCUCCUUACCAGUCAGAUGCACCCAAGAGUCACCACUAUGGUGACAUUUAAUCCCAAGGAUCAGUACGUCCUAGUCUUGCAUUUUAUACAAAUAGAAUCGUACAUUAUAUAUUCUUUCAUGUCUGCCUUCUUUCGCUCACCGUGGGUUGGAAGACUCAUCCAUGUUGUUGGGUGUCGUGGGCAGAAAUCUAAGAUCCCUCCCCCCGCACCCCGAGAUUCCUCAUCCUCUCCUAUUCACUUUCUCCCAAUUAUUCAAUCAAACGUGAAUCUAGGUGCUGCUGUGAAGGGAUUUUGUGAUGUCAUUAAGGCCCAAAUCAGUUGGCUUUAGGAUUGGGAGACUAUUCUCAGUGGGCCUGAUCACAUGAGCCCUUAAAAGGGACUAAGCUCUUCCUGGCGAAAGAGUUUUGAAGUAUGAGACAGAUGGACACGAGGGAAGCUCUUCCUCGUUGGCUUUGAGGACGGAGGAGUCCGCGUGGCAGGAGAUACAGGCGGCCUCUGAGGGCUCAGAAUGGCCCCUGGCUAACAGGCCACAAGGAAAUGGGGGACCUCGGUCCUCCAACUACAAAAAGACCCUGAAUUUUGCCAGCAACCUGAAUGAAAACUAGGAAGACGGUCCUGAGCCCCCGCCUGUGAGGUCCUCUGCCGAGAACCCAGAUCUCAGACCCUCACAGCUGUGAGCUGAGAAUGUCAUUUCUGGACUGGAGCGCGGCUUGAUAUCCCUUCUACUGUUGAUGGACCGCUGGAUGGCUCUCCAGGAACUUCUCAGUGUAUGCCUUUCUUGAAGAUGCGCAUGCCCAUCGGCUGGGUAUCAGUGUUCAGAAGUGAAACUGCUGGAUCACGGAAGGCUCAACUUUAGCGAUUGUUGGCAAACGGUUUUCUGAAGGGCCAUGUUAUUUUCUUGCGUAGCUAUUUUAUUCAAACUUGCCAUGACCUAAUAAGAAUUGGGCCCCACCCUACCUGACAGUAACAUUAACUAGCUAAUCUAAUAGCAAAAACAAAAAACCAACCAACCAACCAACAACAAAAACACUGAGCCAAGAGCCAAAAUUGCCAAGACAAAGUGACUACUUAACCCUGGGUAUGGACUCUUCUCAAUGGCCAGGCCACCUGCCGGAACCAGCAAGGAAGGCUGCUGCCAACUUUGACCACAGCUAGAACUCUGUGGUAGUAUUCUAGGUGCACUGUGUUUGGGCCACUUGAUACCCUGUAAAUUGAUGGCCAAUCAUCCCGUCUGCCUCUGCUGACACGGCUCUUCUCACCGUAACUGUGUCUAAAAUCCCACCGUCUUUGUUAAGUCGGGAAGUACCUUUAACAUACACACAAACACACACACACAGACGGCGGAGUCAGAGACCAAACCUCUCAAAACACGGAUGUCUGCAGCCCCCAUUGUUGCUAUUAAUACGGACCCAGGUUCCAUUUUAAGCCGAAUUUAUAUUCCGAUUGUGGGAUUGCAGCAAACACUCAGAAGGCCUUGCAAACAAAAGAGUAAACACAUGGAUAGCUGAUCACCCUGCCAGACUCAGCCAACACCAUUUUUAUGUCCUAAUUGCCAGGAUCGGGGGACAGCUGCGUCAUUGUUGAAAACACACACGCACGCACAAUUAAGCCAAGAACAAAUGUCAACACUGGCGCAGUCUGCUAAAUUACUGAUAACUGAUGGGCAUUACUCAUGCUGCGAGCAUUGUCUCCCAUAGAAAAUGGAAAGCUUCCUUUUUUAAAAAGACCUUAGAGAUGUCUAGUGGUUUAAGAGCGCCGGGGUGUGUACCGUAACGGCACAACUCAGCCUGCCCGAUUAUGUAAGUGACAUUCCACCCAUGUGCUCAAGGAGUUUGUGAUAAGUACAUGCUGUUCUGUGUCUCUUUAUAUUUGCGCUAACAAGGCGGGCUCCAGGAGGCUGCUUCUUGGUCUGGGGACAGCUUGGUCUGUGAUGAAGGUGUCUUGCAGCCACUGAGCAGAAAUGCCCAGUGAUAACCUCAUCAUCCAGAGAGCCUGGGCUCACCAGUGCAUGCUCCCAGUGCCGGCACUGGACUUCACUCCAUCCAUCUUGUCCUCAGGAAGUUAUUAUUACAUAAUAGAACUAUAAUUUAAACCCCUUGUUCAGUUCCCUCACAAAGGAUGAGGGGUCUUCAAAAUCACUCAUUAAAUCAGCCUGAACAAGGCUAUGAAGUCCGUUUUGGCCUUCACUUCUCCAACCUGAGAAACCUCCGCCUGUGGUCUUGGCACCACCUCCUGGGUAUUCCUCUCUGGCACCUGGCCCGAUUUACCCAGUUUGUUUCCAGAGGUGGAGACGUGCUUCUUGUUAUUAAUCCACAAUGGUUCCUGGAUCGUAGAGCAGGAAGACUCAUUCCCCACUUGAGAAUGUCACGCUCCCACAGGUAGACAGAAACAGCUAUCCUAUUUGUAAUGAGGUCACUCCAGACACACUUAGAUGACAAGGUGUCUUCUUUGCUCGCCUUAAAGGCCAAGCCCUGGGGUAGAAACACUGGGCUCAGGUUCUGCCCUUUGAGGAGCAGCUCUGACAAAUUCAGCUGAGAGAAUGUUUUCCAUUUCCAGCCCAGUGCAGGCUCCUCAACACAUUGGUGGUCUGUAUAAUAUUAAAAUUUCAAAAGAAUGCCCUA